UCGGACGUGGUGUAGUGCAACAAGGCUUCUUUCUGUAGGCGGUAAAACACACAUGUGCGGGAGGCAAUCCCGGGUUCGAUUCCCGGCGUCCGAA
This is a non-coding RNA of Mycena metata, 94 nucleotides long. The record is from the annotation of a GenBank genome assembly. Lineage: Eukaryota; Fungi; Basidiomycota; Agaricomycetes; Agaricales; Mycenaceae.